UGUCCAGGGAUGGGAACCGAACCCACAGUGUUCCGCUUACCGGGCAGAUGCCAUGUCCACUAGGCUUCCCAUCCCUGGAC
Molecule: transfer RNA, 80 nt
Filed under: Cordylochernes scorpioides
Lineage: Eukaryota; Metazoa; Arthropoda; Arachnida; Pseudoscorpiones; Chernetidae
Description: tRNA-Thr
Source: RNAcentral